GUGAGGAAUAUUGGUCAAUGGGCGGGAGCCUGAACCAGCCAAGUCACGUGAAGGAAGAAGGAUCUAUGGUUCGUAAACUUCUUUUGCAGGGGAAUAAAGUGCAGGACGUGUCCUGUUUUGUAUGUACCCUGAGAAUAAGGAUCGGCUAACUCCGUGCCAGCAGCCGCGGUAAUACGGAGGAUCCGAGCGUUAUCCGGAUUUAUUGGGUUUAAAGGGUGCGUAGGUGGUUUGAUAAGUCAGCGGUGAAAGUUUGCAGCUUAACUGUAAAAAUGCCGUUGAAACUGUCGGACUUGAGUGUAAAUGAGGUAGGCGGAAUGCGUGGUGUAGCGGUGAAAUGCAUAGAUAUCACGCAGAACUCCGAUUGCGAAGGCAGCUUACUAAGCUACAACUGACACUGAAGCACGAAAGCGUGGGGAUCAAACAGGAUUAGAAACCCCAGUAGUCC
RNAcentral lists this ribosomal RNA (445 nucleotides) under uncultured bacterium. RNAcentral describes it as "partial 16S ribosomal RNA". It matches the Rfam family "Bacterial small subunit ribosomal RNA", at positions 354 to 796 of the family's 1533-position model. The record is from RNAcentral.